This 190-nucleotide ribosomal RNA is filed under the name Anaerolineae bacterium. Its description in RNAcentral is "partial 16S ribosomal RNA". It matches the Rfam family "Bacterial small subunit ribosomal RNA", at positions 1350 to 1533 of the family's 1533-position model. Lineage: Bacteria; Bacillati; Chloroflexota; Anaerolineae. The record is from RNAcentral.
CAGCCAUAGUGCGUUGAAUACGUUCUCGGGCCUUGUACACACCGCCCGUCACGUCAUGGGAGCUGGUAACACCUGAAGCCGGUAGCCUAACCGCAAGGAGGGCGCUGUCGAAGGUGGUGCUGGUGACUGGGACGAAGUCGUAACAAGGUAGGAGUACCGGAAGGUGCGCCUGGAUCACCUCCUUUCUAGA